GACAUUACACGUCGUUCGUUACUUUCAUUAGUUACUUCAAAUUUCAAAACAAAUUGAAAAGUUAAAAAACGGAGAUCGGAUAUUAAGUUAACUGUUUUUAAAUAGUUCAGCUGUAGUUUUCAUGUACCUACCUGGUGAAAUAGGUGCUCGACAGCCUCGACUCGAGUGCUCGUGAAAAUAGAAAUAAAAUGGCUAAUCCAAUAAUGCAAGUCUGAAAGCUGUGUCUUCUGAAUCUCAAUGAUCUCUGCUGCAAGUUUUUGUAUAUCUUCUAGAUAUGCCUUUUCCAGAUCUAACUCUUUGCUGCUAUCUGUUUUGCAGACAACAGUAUUCAGCUACUCAAGAUUUUGUGGUGAUGUUGGUUGAUCUGAUCACCACUUACAGUUCUAAUUUAGGACAAUGUAGGAUUGAUAGAUUUGAGGAGAAUCCCUCUCCGCUGUUAUAGUUGUUUGGAAAUCAACAAGAGAUUGUUGGAUUUGAAGAUUGAUAAUUUGUGUAGAUGUAGCUAAAUGACUAGUGCAUGCCCUUCUUUUCUGUG
Daphnia pulicaria is the source of this 535-nucleotide long non-coding RNA. RefSeq lists it as uncharacterized. The record is from RefSeq and is a predicted model, not a curated record. The transcript is spliced from 4 exons. Lineage: Eukaryota; Metazoa; Arthropoda; Branchiopoda; Diplostraca; Daphniidae.